RNAcentral lists this transfer RNA (69 nucleotides) under Erthesina fullo. Its description in RNAcentral is "tRNA-Ala". The record is from RNAcentral. Lineage: Eukaryota; Metazoa; Arthropoda; Insecta; Hemiptera; Pentatomidae.
GGGGAAGCAGUUUAUAUAAACAUUUAAUUUGCAAUUAAAAGAAGCUAAUAAAUAAUUUAGCCCUCCUCA